This 351-nucleotide transfer-messenger RNA is filed under the name Thalassovita aquimarina. It matches the Rfam family "Alphaproteobacteria transfer-messenger RNA". Rfam says of the family: Bacterial tmRNA, also known as 10Sa RNA or SsrA, is named for its dual tRNA and mRNA-like properties. Its role is to liberate the mRNA from a stalled ribosome. Lineage: Bacteria; Pseudomonadati; Pseudomonadota; Alphaproteobacteria; Rhodobacterales; Roseobacteraceae. The record is from RNAcentral.
CCCCUUUUCAGACCGGUUCAUCGCUCCUAUAUACGUUCUGUCCCCUCGGGGACUAUGGACAUAAACGCGCUCGUAAUAAGCGGAUCGGACCCGGGGGCGGUACCCGGCGGCUCCACCAAUAAUCCUUCAUUUGGGGAUCAUGGGGCCGAAACAGGAUCGACGAACGUCUAAAGGGGUUAGCUUUGUCUCGGCUGUCUGCCACCGUUACCGGCGAAAACAGUACAAUUGCAAAUGACAAUCGUGCUCCGGUCGCAAUGGCUGCGUAAGCAGUCGGAGUUACCGAAAUCUAAGCCCUUACGCCUAGCCGCGUAAGGCGGGGUUCGCAGGUACCUGGCAACAGAAACCUGCACU